RNAcentral lists this ribosomal RNA (477 nucleotides) under uncultured archaeon. RNAcentral describes it as "bacterial SSU rRNA". It matches the Rfam family "Archaeal small subunit ribosomal RNA", at positions 381 to 859 of the family's 1478-position model. The record is from RNAcentral.
CUGAGUGGUUCCUGCUAAAGGAACCUUUUGUUAGUCGUAGAACCACUGAUGAAUAAGGGGUGGGCAAGUUCUGGUGUCGGCCGCCGCGGUAAAACCAGCACCUCAAGUGGUCAGGAUGAUUAUUGGGCCUAAAGCAUCCGUAGCCUGUUCUGUAAGUUUUCGGUUAAAUCCAUAAGCUCAACUUAUGGGCUGCCGAAAAUACUGCAGGGCUAGGGAGUGGGAGAGGUAGACGGUACUCGGUAGGAAGGGGUAAAAUCCUUUGAUCUAUUGAUGACCACCUGUGGCGAAGGCGGUCUACCAGAACACGUUCGACGGUGAGGGAUGAAAGCUGGGGGAGCAAACCGGAUUAGAUACCCGGGUAGUCCCAGCUGUAAACGAUGCAAACUCGAUGAUGCGUUGGCUUGUUGCUAGCGCAGUGUCGCAGGGAAGCCGUUAAGUUUGCCGCCUGGGAAGUACGUACGCAAGUAUGAAACUUAA